AGUGAACGCUGGCGGCAUGCCUAACACAUGCAAGUCGAACGGCAAGACAGUAAGAGCUUGCUCGUACGGGUGGCGAGUGGCGGACGGGUGAGGAAUACAUCGGCAUCUACUUUUUCGUGGGGAAUAUCGUAGGGAAGGUUACGUUAACACCGCAUACAACCUACGGCAGAAAGCAGGGGUUCUUCGGACUUUUCGCGUUAGUUUUAGCUGAUGUCGGAUUAGCUAGUUGGCGGGGUAAAGGCCCACCAAGGCGACGAAGCGUAGCUGGUCUGAGAGGAUGAUCGGCCACACUGGAACUGAGACACGGUCCAGACUCCUACGGGAGGCAGCAGUGGGGAAUAUUGGGCAAUGGGCGAAAGCCUGAUCCAGCCAUACCGCGUGGGUGAAGAAGGUCUUCGGGUUGUAAAGCCCUUUUGUUGGGGAAGAAAAGCAGUAGGUUAAUACCCCGCUGUUCUGACGGUACCCAAAGAAUAAGCACCGGCUAACUUCGUG
This 492-nucleotide ribosomal RNA is filed under the name uncultured bacterium. RNAcentral's name for it is "partial 16S ribosomal RNA". It matches the Rfam family "Bacterial small subunit ribosomal RNA", at positions 29 to 507 of the family's 1533-position model. The record is from RNAcentral.